UCGAGAGAGUGUGAGAGAGAGAGAGAGAGCUCUGUGCUCUCUGACCCGACGCGACCCGGGAACCCGCAACAGGAUCCGACCAGCGCUGCUCCGUCCGGCCACCUCACGACGGCGUGCGGCAACUAGCAGCUUCAUCUCGGUGUCGCCUACGUCCCUGUGGUUCCAGAUCAUACAUGCAGCGACUGGGAACGAAGAAUCGGCGAUCUAAAGCUUGAAGAACCUCCGGCGUGUUCUGCAGUUUCCGGCUACUCCGGCCACCGUUUGGGCCGCCUGUGAAGCUGUGAAUGGGUGGAAGUCGAUUUGGCAGUAUGUUUAUAGCCGGGUUCCAGGAAAGAGUUUAAUUAGAAGCUUGGGUUCUCACCUGCAAGUCGCACUGCUGAAGGACUCCAGUUAUCCGAGGAACAGAAGGUUCGCGACUCUCGGAGUAUGUGAGAGAAAGCAUCGGAAUCCAGUAUGAAUGCAGGUACUGUGCACUGGUGACGGGACAAUAGCGGAUGAAGCUAGGUGUGCAGAAUAAGUUCGGUAAAUUACCGUGUGAACCUUAUUCUAAAUUCUAUUUCUCGAACUUUGUGUUCUGGAACUUGUUGUUAUCUAGUCUCGCGUCAUCA
This is a long non-coding RNA of Rosa rugosa (rugosa rose), 608 nucleotides long. RefSeq lists it as uncharacterized. Lineage: Eukaryota; Viridiplantae; Streptophyta; Magnoliopsida; Rosales; Rosaceae. The transcript has 4 exons. The record is from RefSeq and is a predicted model, not a curated record.